Molecule: ribosomal RNA, 450 nt
Filed under: uncultured bacterium
Lineage: Bacteria
Description: partial 16S ribosomal RNA
Rfam family: Bacterial small subunit ribosomal RNA
Source: RNAcentral
GCGAACGCUGGCGGCAUGCCUCACACAUGCAAGUCGCACGGGGGGGCUUCGGCCUCCCAGUGGCGGACGGGUGAGGAACGCGUAGGGACCUGUCGAGGGGUGGGGGAUAACCGCGGGAAACUGCGGCUAAUACCGCAUGACGCCGCGGCGUGACAGCCGGGGCCAAAGGCGAAAGCCGCCCGCCGAGGGGCCUGCGUCCGAUUAGCUGGUUGGCGGGGUAGCGGCCCACCAAGGCGUCGAUCGGUAGCUGGUCUGAGAGGGUGAUCAGCCACACCGGGACUGAGACACGGCCCGGACUCCUACGGGAGGCAGCAGUGGGGAAUAUUGGACAAUGGGCGCAAGCCUGAUCCAGCAAUGCCGCGUGGGUGAAGAAGGUCUUCGGAUUGUAAAGCCCUUUCGGCGGGGACGAUGGUGACGGUACCCGCAGAAGAAGCCCCGGCUAACUUCGUG